GUAGCAAGGAACUCUAUCAAAUGACGCAUCAUCUUCAACCUGUUUCUCAUAGAAAACCUACUGUUAUCUCUUUUACAUUUUCUAAUAAAUUCCAUCUACAAUCAAAUGGCACAAACAACUUUUGACUUUCCCAGAUUUCCUUAUAUAUGCUUCAGUUUUCUUAUUGUUUGUUUGCAAUUUUUAGUUUUUUAGUGUUAUCUAAAUUUAUAGAUCUCAUCGGUUGUUUGCAACUUUUAGUUUUAUUGUUCUUGGGUUUUGAUUCACUGAUUUUCUUUAUGCAGAAAAAGAGCUCUGGAAAUGGUGAAUUCACAUGUGAAGAAUGAAGAUACUGAAGAACAAAAAAAAAAUCAAAUUAAACAACCGCCACAAGAAUUAGAUCAAUUGCUUGAAGCUGGGCAUACCUCCUAUUGCUAUAAUUCAGUUCUUCCCGGAGCUGUAAUCUAUAGUCGAAAACAACUGUGUUGGAGAUGGACGUGGUGGUGUCGGGUUGGGCUUUCCUGAGACUCACAGGUUUGGUGUAAAGUUUUGUCAGUCUGAUGGAAUGACCGGAUCAUCGGCGGUAAAGUCGCCACUAUGGUGGAGCCGUUGAAUAAUUGCCGAUGUCGACCACGUUCAAGGAAUUCUUAGAGAGAUAAGGAGGAUUUCCAGUUUCUUUGCUCUUGAUAGAUAUGUGAAUGGUAGUGGAUUUAGGUCGCUUGCUAGCCGACAAGUGGAAAGCUUGAUUUCAACGGACGGUCAAUGAUGCAAGCACAGGAAAAUUCUAAAACAAAGCUUCUUCAUUUUAUGCUCCUGCUUCAGUUGGCUGCGUUUAGAUUUCAAAAUUGGAAAAUUUUCCAAGCUUAAGUUAUCGAUGUUUUAGUAUAAUUUUGUUGGCAGGAUUCUCAGGCCACGUUGAAACCCUCUAAAAAUAGUUGAGCUAGCAACACACUACUGGGUGUUUGUUAGAGGGUAAGGAUCUCUGUAAGAUACUGUCUAGGUAAGGUUCAUGGUUUAUUGAUUCUAUGAAUUGUCAUAUUACAUUACUGUUUCCACUGCAAGUGUAGAGUACUUCCAACAGUUCAAUACCAUAUUCUCAUAUGGUAACUAGCCAAGCGGCUCUGUAACCAUGAAAUAAAAAAGCGCCUUCUAGCUAAGGUUGUACCGGUUGCUCAGAUGGGAGUUGUUACAUGGGGGGUCAUUCCUUAUCCCUUCUUUCACAUUAAGUAGUUUCAAACGAACAGAAACACAAAACUUUUCUUCCUUUCCGGAAGAUCCUUGCAUCUGAUCCUCUCCAGCAGCUAUUUUCAUCGCUUAGCUCCCUCCAUCAUCCUAGCACAAGAGAAGCCAAAAAGGAAAAAGCAUCAAUGUCAUACAUAUAUAAAGGAAGAGAAAGAAUUAUGACUUAUGAGACAGCUCAGCCAUUGUAUAUUAUUUUCUUUUACCGGUGAGCAAGAAGAUGGGAAUCUCAUAUGUGGUAAUUUAACUACUGUAGAAAUAUUUUAUCGCAUCGAUCAAUCGUAGUUGGACAUAUUAGUUUAAGAACUUUUGGUUUAUUCCUUGUGUUUCUCUGAAAUCAGUGUGGAAAAAUGUCUACUUAGGUCAUUUUCACCUUUUCAGAUUAUUCAUUAUUUUGUAUUAUGUUGUUGAAUAAUGUCAUUAUAUAACGAUAAUGCUUUGUAUUAUUUUCCUGAA
Molecule: long non-coding RNA, 1671 nt
Organism: Raphanus sativus (radish)
Lineage: Eukaryota; Viridiplantae; Streptophyta; Magnoliopsida; Brassicales; Brassicaceae
Exons: 5
Source: RefSeq, a predicted model, not a curated record